AAGACGAACGCUGGCGGCGUGCUUAACACAUGCAAGUCGAGCGGAAAGGCCCUUCGGGGUACUCGAGCGGCGAACGGGUGAGUAACACGUGAGUAAUCUGCCCCUAGCUCUGGGAUAGCUCCGGGAAACCGGGAUUAAUACCGGAUACGACCACCUUAGACAUCUUUUGUGGUGGAAAGAAUUUCGGCUAGGGAUGAGCUCGCGGCCUAUCAGCUUGUUGGUGGGGUAAUGGCCUACCAAGGCGACG
Molecule: ribosomal RNA, 247 nt
Filed under: uncultured bacterium
Lineage: Bacteria
Description: partial small subunit ribosomal RNA
Rfam family: Bacterial small subunit ribosomal RNA
Source: RNAcentral